CGGACGGGUGAGUAAUGUCUGGGAAACUGCCCGAUGGAGGGGGAUAACUACUGGAAACGGUAGCUAAUACCGCAUAACGUCGCAAGACCAAAGCGGGGGACCUCCGGGCCUCGCGCCAUCAGAUGAACCCAUAUGGGAUUAGCUAGUAGGUGGGGUAAUGGCUCACCUAGGCGGCGAUCCCUAGCUGGUCUGAGAGGAUGACCAGCCACACUGGAACUGAGACACGGUCCAG
Molecule: ribosomal RNA, 232 nt
Filed under: uncultured bacterium
Lineage: Bacteria
Description: partial 16S ribosomal RNA
Rfam family: Bacterial small subunit ribosomal RNA
Source: RNAcentral